Molecule: ribosomal RNA, 210 nt
Filed under: Staphylococcus aureus
Lineage: Bacteria; Bacillati; Bacillota; Bacilli; Caryophanales; Staphylococcaceae
Description: partial 16S ribosomal RNA
Rfam family: Bacterial small subunit ribosomal RNA
Source: RNAcentral
AACACGUGGAUAACCUACCUAUAAGACUGGGAUAACUUCGGGAAACCGGAGCUAAUACCGGAUAAUAUUUUGAACCGCAUGGUUCAAAAGUAAAAGACGGUCUUGCUGUCACUUAUAGAUGGAUCCGCGCUGCAUUAGCUAGUUGGUAAGGUAACGGCUUACCAAGGCAACGAUGCAUAGCCGACCUGAGAGGGUGAUCGGCCACACUGG